UAAUUUAAAUCGAAUAAAAAACAUAUUAGAAAAGGUAAGCUACAUUCGAAUAGAUAGCAAUAUGCCCAGAAGUCAAUAUACUGAGUACUUGUUUCCAGGCACAACAAGAAAUCUCCUCCAAGAAACUCUACUCUCGCCCUAUUUUAAUAACCGGGGAGCACAUAAUUCGGCCAAAUACAAAUCAAACACUGAAUAGGAUGUUGCAGAAGGAAGAACAAAGGCCGUUGAAGAUCAAUUCUAUGGAUAUUCCACUACCGAUCCAAGCUACCAGGACGACAUUCUUAGAAUAGUGUUGCUUCUUCAUUAUUAUGGUUGUUAAAAAUAAAUACUUUGAGUUCUAAUCAUCGCAAAUUUUCAA
RNAcentral lists this long non-coding RNA (358 nucleotides) under Aedes aegypti (yellow fever mosquito). RNAcentral describes it as "lncRNA AAEL026997". Lineage: Eukaryota; Metazoa; Arthropoda; Insecta; Diptera; Culicidae. The record is from RNAcentral.